Molecule: ribosomal RNA, 381 nt
Filed under: uncultured bacterium
Lineage: Bacteria
Description: bacterial SSU rRNA
Rfam family: Bacterial small subunit ribosomal RNA
Source: RNAcentral
UACGGAGGGUGCGAGCGUUGUUCGGAAUCACUGGGCGUAAAGGGCGCGCAGGCGGUUUUAUAAGUCAGAUGUGAAAGCCCACGGCUUAACCGUGGAAGUGCAUUUGAAACUGUGAGACUUGAGUACCAGAGGGGAAAGUGGAAUUCCCGGUGUAGAGGUGAAAUUCGUAGAUAUCGGGAGGAAUACCGGUGGCGAAGGCGACUUUCUGGCUGGAUACUGACGCUGAGGCGCGAAAGCGUGGGGGAGCAAACAGGAUUAGAUACCCUGGUAGUCCACGCGGUAAACGAUGUGCACUAGAUGUCGGAGGUAUUGAUCCCUUCGGUGUCGCAGCUAACGCAUUAAGUGCACCGCCUGGGGAGUACGGUCGCAAGAUUAAAACUC